Pseudopipra pipra is the source of this 5688-nucleotide long non-coding RNA. RefSeq lists it as uncharacterized. The transcript is spliced from 5 exons. Lineage: Eukaryota; Metazoa; Chordata; Aves; Passeriformes; Pipridae. The record is from RefSeq and is a predicted model, not a curated record.
AAACUGUCUCAGAUUGUUUUGUACAACAUUUGAAUAGAAAUGUUGUUAUAUUUCCAUUCAGACCAAAUUCCUGCUGUGGAAUUUUUCAGUAUGGCUGUCUCUGUGGAACAGAGACAUCUGCCAUGUUCCCAUCCCUAUUUACAGGGCUCUGAAUGGCUUCCCCUUUUCCCCAAUAUUUUUGGUCCUUAUUUUUAAUUGCCAUUCUUUUAUUUGGUCACACACAUUCAUGUAAUAGAAGGCAAGUACAAACUGAUUUAAUAUUACCAAUGCAGAAAGAUCUGGCAAGACUUGGUCUUGUUUAACCUUCCAAACUAAAGGUUAGCAAGUAAUAUAGCUUCUCCAUAUAAAUGCAUAAGGACAGACAUGUCAGGGAAAGGAGAAAAUAUUCACUGAGUGAAGAUGAUUUAAACUGAAAGACAAAAUUGGCAAAAAAUCCCAAACCACCUCAUGUAAAAGAAUUUAGCUAAGAAAACUUUUAACCAUAUGAGAAGCAAAUUUAUGGAGACUAAAGGGAAUAGAAGCAUAUAUUUAGGAUGGAACAUGAUCAGUUUAUAAAAGACUUACAUGAUAGAGUAGUAUAGGAUAAAACCCAGAAAUUUUUGAAUGUUUUGUGCCUUAUUCAAACUUUAUGGAAGUAUACAGAAGUCAUCUCAUUUGCUACAAAUCCAAUAUGUCAAAGGAUCACAGCACUACUGCCACCCACCACAUCAAUAUUGGCAUGGAUGAAUAUUUUGCUAAAAUAUAUCUGCAUGAUGAACUGAAUCUUUGAUGAUUGAAUCCUGGGUAAACAUGAACCAGAAAAGCUGAGACAUAGACUCAUUCCUAAAAAGGUUGAGGUUUGCCUUAUAAAGUGUCUACGCUAAGCUGAAACCAAACUACCUCUUAGCUGGCAACAUUAAUCCUAGACUUUUGGAAUUUUAGUUUGAUCUGCGGAUGUGGUUUCUACAAAUUGGCUCAGGAAGGUGUCUUUGACUCCCAGGUGACACCUGCUGUCAAAGAUGGGCUGUCUUCUGGAAUUAUCAUUGUGAGAGAGAAUAGCUGAACAGCGACGUAACAUUUUAGGGUGCUUGGAUGAUCACUGUGGCUGGUGGUGUGAUUUGUGCUGGACAGCUGGUCACUCUUGUGCCUGGUACCAAAAGGGAAAUGGUGUUGCUCCCAUGUGAGGAGUUAAAUACCUGCUCUUUGCUGCUCUCCUUGCACUCAUCACUCAUUGAAUGAUGUCUAGAAAAGAUUUUUACACCAUUUCCUGUCUUUAAAAAUACAUCCCAUCCUCAGUAGUGGCUACAUGCAAUACAUACUAGCCCAAAAAGUCUGCAAGGCAGAAAUUAUUGUGCUAUUUUCUUAGCAUAUUUUCUUACUCACCUCUGUGGAUUGAAGGUAACUUUAAAUGUUGUAGCACACAGAAGUCAGCCAGGUAAGCCUCCAUGUGCUAUAAAGGGUACAAACAGAGAAGUCACUCUCUGCACUAAAAAGAUGAUGUAUGAGACAUAUGUGCCCAGAGGGAGAGAAAGCAAAGAGGAGCACAUCAUUGUGCUCGUCUGAAUGCUUGUGCAUAAUUUCUGCAAAGCAGUUCAGCUUCAGCAGAAAUGAUGGGAAGGCAUCACUGGGACCAGCCUGUACUUGUACUCUUUGCUCAGGUUGGUGGGCAGACGUCUGAGACCUGCUGAUCACCAUAGGAUGGUCUGGCCACACUUGGGCUGUGGCUGACCCUCGUCCCUGUCCCUUUACCUCCUGUGCUUUUCUGGCUUUGUGCUAUGAGACAUGAGAAGUUGUGGAUGCCCCAUCCCUGGAAGUGUUCAAGGCCAGGUUGGAUGGGGCUCUGAGAACCUGGUCUAGUGGAAGGUGUCCCUGUUCAUGGCAGCAGGGUUGGGACGAGAUAGUCUUUAAGGUCCCUUUCAGCCCAAACUAUUGUGUGAUUCUAUGAUUCUAUGAUCACCAUGUUGGGAAGGGCACUGCCCUUGCCGUCACUGUCACCCUCAGCCCCCAUCUCUCCUGCCCUUGCCACACCACUGCCUGACACUGAGGGACAUCUCAACCUAUACGUUGGUUUUAGGUGUAUGUACGUGUGUUAAAAAUUACCCUGCUGACUUGAACACUUCGGUGAGGAUGAGUGAUGUUCUUUUCUCACAAGGAACAGACUCAAAUGACUACUCACUGGUUGCCCUAUGGCACGGUCCUCAGUACAACAUUUUAGAGGAGCCAGCUUUACCAUCUGCAACUAAGGGCAGCUGCUGGCCACACUCUGCCGUGGGCUGUCCAUGCCCAUGGGCUCAGGGCGACACCGGGGGCAUUAAUACACAAGCACCCCCGGGUUUAUGAGGUGAGGUCUUUAGUAUUUGUGCUGCUUUCCACUUGAUGGCAGCAGAGCCCACAGCAACGGGUGCGGGCAGGUCUGUGUGCGGAUCUCUGGUUGUUAGUGAUGGGGAAUGGCAGGCGAUGAGUCCUCACGGCAGAAACGCGGCUCUUGAAAAGAAUAUUAAGUAUAUUUCGAUAAUAUGGAUUUGGAUAAUUUGGAUGUAUGGGUAAUAAUAUGGAUUGCAAAUGUAAUGGUGGUGAGACCAGCUCUGACAAGAACUGGAGUGCUCCUGCCUAUUUCCAGAAGCAAGAGGCAUAAAUACAGAGUCUUUUGCAAGAGAUGAAAUCUCCACCACUGUAACUAUGUAUGAGACCAGGUUUUCUCAAAUUUUCUUAAAAAAUUCAGUAGCUUGGGAGAAUAUUUCAUAUUUCAGGUUAGUUUUGUCUGCUUUCAGUACAAACGAUUUGUUCUGAAUUUCAGUGUAAUGUGCAAAUAGAAAGCAGCCAGAAGUUUAUAAUUUCUGAGGCUGAGCCAGUUUUCGGCAUCCACUUUACAAUUGUUUUCAGGGAGGUGUCCACAAAAGAAGCAAAAUGAGAAGAAUUUCAGAGAAUAAAUAGAGAAAUGCAGCAAGCACAUAGAUUUACAGAAAGAAUAUUUUCUGCAAGGUAAUCAGCUACUCUGUAGGCAAGUCAGGCUUUUAAUUAGGUCUGUAGUUGCAGGUGUUUCCUAAGAGCCUAAUCAGCUUUGGGGGAAAAUAUUAUUUGGGGCAAACUAGAGAAACUUAAACUUUUCUUGGCUCUAUCUCCCACAUUUCACCUCGCAGCUGCAUAAUUUACUGUGGUGGUUUUUUUAACUCUUUUGGCAUAGUGCAAGGUCUGAAAUGGAGACUGGUCUUGUUCUUGUCUUUGCUCCAAGGUUAAAUGAACAGAAAUAGUACAUAUAUUUUUCAAAUCAUAUCAGACACUAGUAUAAAAGUGAUCAUCUUCUUGGAAAUGUUUGCCAUUGCUAUUCAAUGGCUCUUCAUUUUCCUGCCAGGAUAAGUAAUAUAUUUUAAAAAGAUUAAUUUCUCAUUGUAAAGUUAUAUACUCUGUAAACUGAAGAAAAGAGUCAAAAUGUCAACUGCUUUGGACAUUUCUGUUUUGUUAAUUCUGGUGGAAUUGCAGGUGCCAUGAUUUCUGCUGCUUGAAAAGCAGGGCAGAAAAACUUAGUGGAGGAAAUUGGAAGUUACCAGAAAGCCCACCUACAGCUUUCCCUGACAAGUCACUUUCUGAAAAUGUUUGCUCUUUUUGAAACAAUAUGCCACCCCACCAUCUUGUGUCCCUUAAAAAGCACAUAAACCCUAGAAAAAUAAAGCCAUGAUAAAAAGCACUUUCUUACAAAAAUCAAAGAGGUAAACAGAUGGGCGUAUUAGCCCUUGUCUUUUCUUGCCUCUGUUUGUCUUUCAAAUGGAAUUCUGGUGUUUCACAUACUGCAGGGGCCAUAGAAGGAGUUAGCAGGAAUAGCAGUGAUAUUCAAGACUGUGAGUUACUUACUUUCCAGAUCUUCAUCUGUUUUUCAUGAGAAAGGCUCAAGGUAAUGAAGUAAGACCCUACAGAGUGGACAUCUCACUCCAGUUUCCUUGUCUUUUUUUUUUUUUUUUUAACGUGCUUCAAGUCCCUUACAGGACUAACUUUACAGAAACUUUGAGAGCUUAUGGGAUGUGUUGGUGGGAUGGUGAACUGCCAGAGGCACUGGAGAGAGGCAGAGAGAAUGAUGCUCACUUUCUUUCUCCAAACCUUUUAAAAAUUCCUGCUUCCACAGCUGAACGACACUGGGAGAGCAAAACCUGCCAAGCCGAUUUUACAUGUGACAAUCAAAGGCAAGGACUCUUGACAGGAGCCUUUUAAUGAAUCCAUGUGAGAUGGAUGUGGUUUCCUUCACUGGAGAGAGAAGAGUCUCACAACAUCUCACAAAGAUCCCUUCUAAUAGAGAUGUCUGAUGUAUUCCCCAGUGAAUGACACAGCCUUGCCCACAGAGAAGCAUAAAGCUGAAUGGGGAAUAACAGCACUUUGGCACAACUUCUUAGCAUCUUCUUUUGUCUCCUUGUGCCACACGCAGAGAUGAAGACUCUCCAAGGAUUGAUGUCAGUUGUCUCCAAUCAAUGUGCAGCAAACGUGGCUGAGAAGGAAUCUUUGUCCUACUUUUAGUUAGAGAACUUCUGCUUGUCUCUUCCAUUCUCAAGGCAGGAAUAUCCAUCUGACCUUCAGCUGCACUUGUGGGGAGCAAGAGAGCCAUAGGUAAGCAGUGUCUGGAAUAACAGAGGUAAAGAAAUUCAACAGAUAUGAUUUGAGGACUGAGAGAAUGACACAGCAGAGACUGACAUGGGACCGAGGAGAAAGGACUCAAAGCUACCUUCCUGGACUUUGUGAGGAGAAAGGACUUCAGCAAACAGCUGAAGGUUGGUUGGGGGGAGUGUUCAGGGGCCCCGAACACUCCCUCGAGAGAGAGACUGUGUUACAUAUCAGCCUUGAAAGGCUUCUCCUGGACUUAAGUUAAAGGGAGGGGCUUAAAGGACUGAUAGAAGUGUAAUACUAUAUAUAUAUAGUUGCCUUUAGUUUGUAUAGUAUUUAUUUGUGUAAAUAAAUGUAUAUACUUCCCCUUCCCCCUAUAGAAGCCUCUGGCCUGAAAGUUUCUCUCCGGUGUUAGGAUAAAUUGUGGGAAGGGGUGGGGGGAAGCCUAGAAAUUGGAUUCUGGAUUUCUAAUGUGGCUCAAACUGCCACACACAGUUAAUCAGAUGGCAGUGCCUUUCCCCAAAAAUGUGGAAAACAAUCCAGUUUCAGAACUAGUAUCAGAAGAUUUUUAACAGAAAUGGAAAUAUAAACCCUAUAGCAGGUCAAUAAUGCUAAGACAAUCCCAGGUGGAGGCAAAAAACUGGAAUCCUUUAUUGGACAUACAGGCUGAUAUUUUAAGGUUCUGGGGUCUACAUAUUCAUGGGGGUGCUGAGCUAUUACAAACAGGGGGUUUUACAAGGAUGAGGUAAGGGAAAAACCCAAGUUACACCUUUUGGGUUUAGCACAUCAUGGGGAAAAACUACUUAUUUUAGGAUUACAUUUUUGGGGAUUUACAUGGGGGAGAGAUAUCCAAUGUUUACAGAAUACACAGGAUACACAGAGAGGGGGAAAACAACAAUGGAUUUUGUGCAGAGGCUUGAUAACAUCACAGCAUAGUCUCUCUGUAUCUUGGCAGGACAUUCCAAACAGGAGACAUCCUGUUUGGUCCUCAAAUGCAGGUUUUUUCCCCAGCUUUUGUAGCCCAAGGUUUCUGUUUAAACCCAGCAGUUUCUUUUUCUGAUAUCCAACUUUUCAGACUCCAACAAAACCCCAGAUUAUUUGCCAGGGUAAUUAGGAGAAUAA